Molecule: ribosomal RNA, 279 nt
Filed under: uncultured bacterium
Lineage: Bacteria
Description: partial 16S ribosomal RNA
Rfam family: Bacterial small subunit ribosomal RNA
Source: RNAcentral
UGCCAGCAGCCGCGGUAAUACGGGGGGUGCAAGCGUUGUUCGGAAUUAUUGGGCGUAAAGCGUGCGUAGGCGGACUAUUAAGUCUGAUGUGAAAUCCCUCGGCUCAACCGAGGACCUGCAUUGGAUACUGAUAGUCUUGAGUCCCGGAGAGGAUAGCGGAAUUCCUAGUGUAGAGGUGAAAUGCAUAGAUAUUACUUAGAAUACCGAUUGCGAAGGCAGUCUACUACGUGUAUACUGACGCUGAGGGACGAAAGCGUGGGGAGCGAACAGGAUUAGAUA